RNAcentral lists this small nuclear RNA (107 nucleotides) under Jaculus jaculus (lesser Egyptian jerboa). Lineage: Eukaryota; Metazoa; Chordata; Mammalia; Rodentia; Dipodidae. The record is from RNAcentral.
GUGCUUACUUCAGCAGCACAAAUGCUCACCUUGGAAUGAUACAGAGAAGACAAGCAUCACUUCUGCUCAAGGAGGAUAUGCAAACUCCUGAAGGCUUCCACAUUUUA